Molecule: ribosomal RNA, 400 nt
Filed under: uncultured bacterium
Lineage: Bacteria
Description: bacterial SSU rRNA
Rfam family: Bacterial small subunit ribosomal RNA
Source: RNAcentral
UUAGGAAUUUUGCGCAAUGGGCGAAAGCCUGACGCAGCAACGCCGCGUGAGGGAGGAAGGCCUUCGGGUUGUAAACCUCUUUCGAUGGGAACGAAACAAAUGACGGUACCCAUAGAAGAAGCACCGGCUAACUACGUGCCAGCAGCCGCGGUAAUACGUAGGGUGCAAGCGUUAUUCGGAUUUACUGGGCGUAAAGCGCAUGUAGGUGGUUUCGUAAGUCUGAUGUGAAAUCCCUGGACUCAAUCCAGGAACUGCAUCGGAUACUGCGUUACUUGAGUACUGGAGGGGAGAACGGAAUUCCUGGUGUAGAGGUGAAAUUCGUAGAUAUCAGGAGGAACAACGGUGGCGAAAGCGGUUCUCUGGACAGUAACUGACACUGAGAUGCGACAGCGUGGGGAGC